ACUCAAAUGAAUUGACGGGGGCCCGCACAAGCAGCGGAGCGUGUGGUUUAAUUCGACGCAACGCGAAGAACCUUACCAGGGCUUGACAUGGUGGGAAAAGCCAUCGAAAGGUGGUGUGCCCGCAAGGGCGUCCAUUACAGGUGCUGCACGGCUGUCGUCAGCUCGUGCCGUGAGGUGUUGGGUUAAGUCCCGCAACGAGCGCAACCCCUGUCGUGAGUUACAGGUGUCUCACGAGACUGCUGGUGGCAAGCCAGAGGAAGGCGGGGAUGACGUCAAGUCAGCGUGGCCCUUACGCCCUGGGCUACACACACGCUACAAUGGCCGGUACAGCGCGCAGCGACCCCGCGAGGUGAAGCGAAUCGCUUAAAGCCGGCCCCAGUUCAGAUUGCAGGCUGAAACCCGCCUGCAUGAAGGCGGAGUUGCUAGUAACCGCGGGUCAGCACACCGCGGUGAAUACGUUCCCGGGCCUUGUACACACCGCCCGU
Molecule: ribosomal RNA, 485 nt
Filed under: uncultured bacterium
Lineage: Bacteria
Description: partial 16S ribosomal RNA
Rfam family: Bacterial small subunit ribosomal RNA
Source: RNAcentral